GAGGAAUAUUGGUCAAUGGGCGAGAGCCUGAACCAGCCAAGUAGCGUGCAGGAUGACGGCCCUAUGGGUUGUAAACUGCUUUUGUAUGGGGAUAAAGUCAGUCACGUGUGAUUGUUUGCAGGUACCAUACGAAUAAGGACCGGCUAAUUCCGUGCCAGCAGCCGCGGUAAUACGGAAGGUCCGGGCGUUAUCCGGAUUUAUUGGGUUUAAAGGGAGCGUAGGCUGGAGAUUAAGUGUGUUGUGAAAUGUAGACGCUCAACGUCUGACUUGCAGCGCAUACUGGUUUCCUUGAGUACGCACAACGUUGGCGGAAUUCGUCGUGUAGCGGUGAAAUGCUUAGAUAUGACGAAGAACUCCGAUUGCGAAGGCAGCUGACGGGAGCGCAACUGACGCUGAAGCUCGAAGGUGCGGGUAUCGAACAGGAUUAGAUACCCUGGUAGUCCGCACAGUAAACGAUGGAUGCCCGCUGCUGGUACUUGGUAUCAGCGGCUAAGCGAAAGCAUUAAGCAUCCCACCUGGGGAGUACGCCGGCAACGGUG
RNAcentral lists this ribosomal RNA (539 nucleotides) under uncultured bacterium. RNAcentral describes it as "bacterial SSU rRNA". It matches the Rfam family "Bacterial small subunit ribosomal RNA", at positions 356 to 896 of the family's 1533-position model. The record is from RNAcentral.